RNAcentral lists this transfer RNA (73 nucleotides) under Marmota monax (woodchuck). Its description in RNAcentral is "tRNA.Val". The record is from RNAcentral. Lineage: Eukaryota; Metazoa; Chordata; Mammalia; Rodentia; Sciuridae.
GUGGGUGUAGCUCAGUUGGUACAGAGUAUACUUAACAUGCAUGAGGCUCUGGCUUCGAUUGCCAGCACUGAAA